UACGAAGGGGGCUAGCGUUGUUCGGAAUUACUGGGCGUAAAGCGCGCGCAGGCGGUCCUUCAAGUCAGGGGUGAAAGCCCAGGGCUCAACCCUGGAAUGGCCUUUGAGACUAGAGGACUUGGGUACGGGAGAGGUGAGUGGAAUUCCGAGUGUAGAGGUGAAAUUCGUAGAUAUUCGGAAGAACACCAGUGGCGAAGGCGGCUCACUGGCCCGUUACCGACGCUCAGGCGCGACAGCGUGGGGAUCAAACAGG
RNAcentral lists this ribosomal RNA (253 nucleotides) under uncultured bacterium. RNAcentral's name for it is "partial 16S ribosomal RNA". It matches the Rfam family "Bacterial small subunit ribosomal RNA", at positions 524 to 776 of the family's 1533-position model. The record is from RNAcentral.